GGAAAAUGUAGAAGUGCAUUUGGAGGAGAAGACCAAUACAGCUGAUUUUGUCUGCUGUUUGCAGCAUUUGCAGUUGUGUUUUGAAACUGAAGAGAAAGCACGGAGACUUCUUCUAAACGUGUCAUCUCUACUGAAACCAGGGGGAUAUUUUCUCGUGGUUUCAGAUGAAAUCCACAUAAAAUGAAGUCCAGAGUUAGAGCAUAAUGAAAUUCAUCC
This is a long non-coding RNA of Trifolium pratense (red clover), 216 nucleotides long. RefSeq lists it as uncharacterized. The transcript is spliced from 3 exons. The record is from RefSeq and is a predicted model, not a curated record. NCBI's taxonomy places the organism in Eukaryota, Viridiplantae, Streptophyta, Magnoliopsida, Fabales, Fabaceae.